Sander lucioperca (pikeperch) is the source of this 127-nucleotide long non-coding RNA. RefSeq lists it as uncharacterized. NCBI's taxonomy places the organism in Eukaryota, Metazoa, Chordata, Actinopteri, Perciformes, Percidae. The record is from RefSeq and is a predicted model, not a curated record. The transcript has 3 exons.
UCUGAGAUGCAUAUUUAUAUUUAUAUAAAUUAACAAAAUUUGUCAUAAAACAUGGCCGCCAUUAAUCAAAGAACUUCCUACUGGGCGGGGCUAGCAGGGAAUUGCCUAUAACUCAAGUUCUGCCGUA